This 403-nucleotide ribosomal RNA is filed under the name uncultured bacterium. Its description in RNAcentral is "bacterial SSU rRNA". It matches the Rfam family "Bacterial small subunit ribosomal RNA", at positions 362 to 758 of the family's 1533-position model. The record is from RNAcentral.
UUUUGGACAAUGGGCGCAAGCCUGAUCCAGCAAUGCCGCGUGCAGGAUGAAGGCCUUCGGGUUGUAAACUGCUUUUGUACGGAGCGAAAAGGCUUCCACUAAUACUGGGGGCUCAUGACGGUACCGUAAGAAUAAGCACCGGCUAACUACGUGCCAGCAGCCGCGGUAAUACGUAGGGUGCAAGCGUUAAUCGGAAUUACUGGGCGUAAAGCGUGCGCAGGCGGUUAUGUAAGACAGAUGUGAAAUCCCCGGGCUUAACCUGGGAACUGCAUUUGUGACUGCAUAGCUAGAGUACGGUAGAGGGGGAUGGAAUUCCGCGUGUAGCAGUGAAAUGCGUAGAUAUGCGGAGGAACACCGAUGGCGAAGGCAAUCCCCUGGACCUGUACUGACGCUCAUCACGAAG